RNAcentral lists this ribosomal RNA (251 nucleotides) under uncultured prokaryote. RNAcentral describes it as "partial 16S ribosomal RNA". It matches the Rfam family "Bacterial small subunit ribosomal RNA", at positions 355 to 598 of the family's 1533-position model. The record is from RNAcentral.
UUUCGAAUUCUUCCCAAUGGGCGCAAGCCUGAGGGUGCAAUACCGCGUGGAGGAUGAAGGCCUUAGGGUCGUAAACUCCUGUCGUCAGGGACAAAACCCCCAAUCACUAAUCGGGUUGGGGCUGAUUUAACUUGAAGAGGAAGAGGUGGCUAACUCUGUGCCAGCAGCCGCGGUGAUACAGAGACCUCAAGCGUUACUCGGAUUCACUGGGCGUAAAGGGUACGUAGGUGGCAUGGUGUGUUGGAUGUGAA